This 253-nucleotide ribosomal RNA is filed under the name uncultured bacterium. RNAcentral describes it as "partial 16S ribosomal RNA". It matches the Rfam family "Bacterial small subunit ribosomal RNA", at positions 524 to 776 of the family's 1533-position model. The record is from RNAcentral.
UACAGAGACUGCAAGCGUUAUUCGGAUUCACUGGGCGUAAAGGGUGCGCAGGCGGCCGUGUGUGUGAGGUGUGAAAUCCCGGAGCUUAACUCCGGAACUGCGCCUCAAACUACAUGGCUAGAGCAUUGGAGAGGGAAGUGGAAUUCACGGUGUAGCAGUGAAAUGCGUAGAUAUCGUGAGGAACACCAGUGGCGAAGGCGGUUCUCUGGGACGGUACUGACGCUGAGACGCGAAAGCGUGGGGAGCGAACAGG